Molecule: ribosomal RNA, 253 nt
Filed under: uncultured bacterium
Lineage: Bacteria
Description: partial 16S ribosomal RNA
Rfam family: Bacterial small subunit ribosomal RNA
Source: RNAcentral
UACGAAGGGGGCUAGCGUUGCUCGGAAUGACUGGGCGUAAAGGGCGCGUAGGCGGCUCAUACAGUCAGAUGUGAAAUUCCUGGGCUUAACCUGGGGGCUGCAUUUGAUACGUGUGGGCUUGAGUGGGGAAGAGGGUCGUGGAAUUCCCAGUGUAGAGGUGAAAUUCGUAGAUAUUGGGAAGAACACCGGUGGCGAAGGCGGCGACCUGGUCCUUGACUGACGCUGAGGCGCGGAAGCGUGGGGAGCAAACAGG